Molecule: ribosomal RNA, 512 nt
Filed under: uncultured Caryophanaceae bacterium
Lineage: Bacteria; Bacillati; Bacillota; Bacilli; Caryophanales; Caryophanaceae
Description: uncultured Planococcaceae bacterium partial 16S ribosomal RNA
Source: RNAcentral
CACGUAGUUAGCCGUGGCCUUCUAAUGAGGUACCGUCAAGGUACAGACAGUUACUCCUGUACUUGUUCUUCCCUCAUAACAGAGCUUUACGAUCCGAAAACCUUCUUCGCUCACGCGGCAUUGCACCAUCAGACUUUCGUCCAUUGUGGAUGAUUCCCUACUGCUGCCUCCCGUAGGAGUCUGGGCCGUGUCUCAGUCCCAGUGUGGCCGAUCACCCUCUCAGGUCGGCUACGCAUCGUCGCCUUGGUAAGCCGUUACCUUACCAACUAGCUAAUGCGCCGCGGGCCCAUCCCGUAGCGACAGCCGAAGCCGUCUUUCAGAACUCUUUCAUGAGAAAAAGUUAUCAUUCGGUAUUAGCCCCGGUUUCCGGAGUUACUCCCCAACUACAGGGCAGGUUCGCCCACGUGUUACUCACCCAUUCGCCGCUAACAGAGUGAGGAGCAAGCUCCUCAUCUAUCCGCUCGACUUGCAUGUAUUAGGCUAGUCGCCGCCAGCCGUUCGUCCGUGUACCG